RNAcentral lists this ribosomal RNA (1488 nucleotides) under Mycoplasmopsis arginini. RNAcentral's name for it is "Mycoplasma arginini 16S ribosomal RNA". It matches the Rfam family "Bacterial small subunit ribosomal RNA". Lineage: Bacteria; Bacillati; Mycoplasmatota; Mycoplasmoidales; Metamycoplasmataceae. The record is from RNAcentral.
AGAGUUUGAUCCUGGCUCAGGAUGAACGCUGGCUGUGUGCCUAAUACAUGCAUGUCGAGCGAGGUUCUUUUGAACCUAGCGGCGAAUGGGUGAGUAACACGUGCUUAAUCUACCCUUUAGAUUGGAAUACCCAAUGGAAACAUUGGCUAAUGCCGGAUACGCAUGGAAUCGCAUGAUUCCGUUGUGAAAGGAGCCUUUAAAGCUCCGCUAGAGGAUGAGGGUGCGGAACAUUAGUUAGUUGGUAGGGUAAUGGCCUACCAAGACUAUGAUGUUUAGCCGGGUCGAGAGACUGAACGGCCACAUUGGGACUGAGAUACGGCCCAAACUCCUACGGGAGGCAGCAGUAGGGAAUAUUCCACAAUGAGCGAAAGCUUGAUGGAGCGACACAGCGUGCACGAUGAAGGUCUUCGGAUUGUAAAGUGCUGUUAUAGGGAAAGAACACCUGGUUGAGGAAAUGCUUCCAGGCUGACGGUACCCUGUCAGAAAGCGAUGGCUAACUAUGUGCCAGCAGCCGCGGUAAUACAUAGGUCGCAAGCGUUAUCCGGAAUUAUUGGGCGUAAAGCGUUCGUAGGCUGUUUAUUAAGUCUGGAGUCAAAUCCCAGGGCUCAACCCUGGCUCGCUUUGGAUACUGGUAAACUAGAGUUAGAUAGAGGUAAGCGGAAUUCCAUGUGAAGCGGUGAAAUGCGUAGAUAUAUGGAAGAACACCAAGGGCGAAGGCAGCUUACUGGGUCUAUACUGACGCUGAGGGACGAAAGCGUGGGGAGCAAACAGGAUUAGAUACCCUGGUAGUCCACGCCGUAAACGAUGAUCAUUAGUCGGUGGAGAGUUCACUGACGCAGCUAACGCAUUAAAUGAUCCGCCUGAGUAGUAUGCUCGCAAGAGUGAAACUUAAAGGAAUUGACGGGGACCCGCACAAGCGGUGGAGCAUGUGGUUUAAUUUGAAGAUACGCGGAGAACCUUACCCACUCUUGACAUCCUUCGCAAUGCUAUAGAGAUAUAGCGGGGGUUAACGGAGUGACAGAUGGUGCAUGGUUGUCGUCAGCUCGUGUCGUGAGAUGUUUGGUCAAGUCCUGCAACGAGCGCAACCCCUAUCUUUAGUUACUAACGAGUCAUGUCGAGGACUCUAGAGAUACUGCCUGGGUAACUGGGAGGAAGGUGGGGAUGACGUCAAAUCAUCAUGCCUCUUACGAGUGGGGCAACACACGUGCUACAAUGGUCGGUACAAAGAGAAGCAAUAUGGCGACAUGGAGCAAAUCUCAAAAAGCCGAUCUCAGUUCGGAUUGGAGUCUGCAAUUCGACUCCAUGAAGUCGGAAUCGCUAGUAAUCGCAGAUCAGCUACGCUGCGGUGAAUACGUUCUCGGGUCUUGUACACACCGCCCGUCGCACCAUGGGAGCUGGUAAUACCCAAAGUCGGUUAGCUAACCUCGGAGGCGACCGCCUAAGGUAGGACUGGUGACUGGGGUUAAGUCGUAACAAGGUAUCCCUACC